RNAcentral lists this transfer RNA (73 nucleotides) under Vicugna pacos (alpaca). RNAcentral's name for it is "tRNA-Ala (AGC) (tRNA-Ala-AGC-89-1, tRNA-Ala-AGC-89-2)". It matches the Rfam family "tRNA". From Rfam's summary of the family: Transfer RNA (tRNA) molecules are approximately 80 nucleotides in length. Lineage: Eukaryota; Metazoa; Chordata; Mammalia; Artiodactyla; Camelidae. The record is from RNAcentral.
GGAGGGUAUAGCUCAGUGGUAGAGUGUGUGCUUAGCAUGCAUAAGGUCCUGGGUUCAAUCCCCAGUACCUCCA